GGAUUCCCUUAGUAACUGCGAGUGAAGUGGGAAAAGCUCAAAUUUAAAAUCUGACAGUCUUUGACUUGUCCGACUUGUAAACUAGAGAAGUGCUAUCCGCGCUGGACCAUGUACAAGUCUCCUGGAAUGGAGCGUCAUGGAGGGUGAGAAUCCCGUUUCUGACAUGGAUUACCAGGGCUUUUGUGAUGUGCUCUCAAAGAGUCGAGUUGUUUGGGAAUGCAGCUCUAAAUGGGUGGUAAAUUCCAUCUAAAGCUAAAUAUUGGCGAGAGACCGAUAGUGAACAAGUACCGUGAGGGAAAGAUGAAAAGAACUUUGGAAAGAGAGUUAAAUAGUACGUGAAAUUGUUGAAAGGGAAACGCUUGAAGUCAGUCACAUCAGUUAGGAGUCAACCUUGCUCACUUGCUUGGUGCUUUUUCUAGUCUGAUGGGUCAGCAUCAAUUUUGGCUGGUGGAGAAAGGCUAGGGAAAUGUGGCAUCUUUUAUAGAUGUGUUAUAGUCCUUUGUCACAUGCAUCAGUUGGGAUUGAGGAAUUCAGCACACUACAAGGUUUUUGUGCUUAGGAUGCUGGCAUAAUGGCUUUAAUCGACCCGUCUUGAAACACGGACCAAGGAGUCCACCAUGCAUGCGAGUAUUUGAGUGUGAAACCUCAUAUGCGCAAUGAAAGUGAAGAUCAGGAUCCCUGCUAGUUGGGGUGCACUGAUGCCUGGGCCAGAGCUUUUGCAAUGGACCUGCGGUUGAGCAUGUAUGUUGGGACCCGAAAGAUGGUGAACUAUGCCUGAAUAGGGUGAAGCCAGAGGAAACUCUGGUGGAAGCUCGUAGCGAUUCUGACGUGCAAAUCGAUCGUCGAAUUUGGGUAUAGGGGCGAAAGAC
This 869-nucleotide ribosomal RNA is filed under the name Tricholomataceae sp. Its description in RNAcentral is "LSU rRNA". It matches the Rfam family "Eukaryotic large subunit ribosomal RNA", at positions 72 to 931 of the family's 3401-position model. Lineage: Eukaryota; Fungi; Basidiomycota; Agaricomycetes; Agaricales; Tricholomataceae. The record is from RNAcentral.